This is a long non-coding RNA of Cavia porcellus (domestic guinea pig), 1294 nucleotides long. RefSeq lists it as uncharacterized. The record is from RefSeq and is a predicted model, not a curated record. The transcript has 3 exons. Lineage: Eukaryota; Metazoa; Chordata; Mammalia; Rodentia; Caviidae.
UCAUGCGGCCACGCCUGGCCUCAGCUCACAGUGCCCGCCUUCCCCAGCUCCCGUGCCAAGCUGAGCCGCCACGCCUGGCUUACCAAGGAACUUUCUAGAAGGAGAAAUGCUGUGAUCUGCACAGAUGGUUGUGGAGCCUGCCAGCCAGAUAGGAAGUGGAGAAACGGAGGCACACAUUUGAGGCCUCAUAGAUGUGGCUGUCAUCAUCCAAGGUCACUGCCCACCUCGAUGUUUUGUCUGCCUUCUGCCUGGUUUCGGAGGCCCAGCGGCCCCUCGAGGACCAAGGACUGACUCUACCCCAGCUACCAACGGCAGCAGUGACCCCGAGUCCACUCCUGCUGUCCAGCUCAUGGGCCCUGGGCCUUCCUCACCCCAUGCACAUGUGAGAAGACGAAGAAAGACCAGAUUCCUGUGCCCAUCAUUGAGGACACGUGAGUCGAUGACCACCAACAAGCAGGCAGAGGCCGAACCCCACACCAAGCUGGGUGACACUUGAUCUUAGACUUCGUUCGGUGCGGCCUCCGUGUGUGCAGAGCCCUAAGCCAUGAACAUUGUGGUACACUCGUCUGCAGGACCGGCCCAGGCUCGCAGCAGGGGGCGCCAGGCAGCCCAGGGGUGCUGUAGGCUGCAGUCCCCUGGCUUGUGCAAAGCCACACCACGAUCUUUACACAACAGUGCGUUCCCCAGGACACACAGCUGUGCCCGCUCUCCAGAUGGUCACAGGCUGCCGAGUGGGACCUGAGACACGGCCGGCCUGGUGUGGCGGGGGCCGGGACAAGGUCGCAGCCUUCACGGGAGCAGGCAGUGUUAUUUCUCCACAAAUGCUCUGACCCUGCUAGGCUUUAUCUAGGAAUUUAUCCCUCAGAUGUCACCCGAAUGUUAUUUCAUGUGGCCAGUCCAAAGAGCCAGCAAGCUCUGCCACACAGGAACAUCUCAGUCUGGAGCUGAAGCAACAGUGCUGUUACUAUCAAGCUGAAAAACACAAGGGGAAAGACUGCUGACUGAUGUGUUUACUUGUGUGGGGCCAAAACGCCCUUUCAAAGACCCUGGAAGAAUUGGCGAUGGUCCCCCGGGGAGGGGAGGGAGCUCUGGCUAACAGAUACUGGUGGGGACUUUCCUUCUCAUUGUGCAUCUUUUUCAGGCAUUUGAAUUCCUAACAAUUAAUACCUACUAAAAAUAGUAAAUAAAAUAAGAGGAACAGGACAUGUAGACACCGUCACAUGUGAUGCCUUCCAGGACAUCCUGAAGUUUAAAAAAUGGGUGCGUCUGAGAUCAUGGUAUUCAAGAGAAAUAA